CCUACGGGGGGCAGCAGUAAGGAAUAUUGGACAAUGGGGGCAACCCUGAUCCAGCCAUGCCGCGUGAAGGAUGACGGCCUCUGGGUUGUAAACUUCUUUUGUACGGGAAUAUGUACCGUAAGAAUAAGGAUCGGCUAACUUCGUGCCAGCAGCCGCGGUAAUACGAAGGAUCCAAGCGUUAUCCGGAUUUAUUGGGUUUAAAGGGUGCGUAGGCGGGCUAUUAAGUCAGUGGUGAAAGCCCCAAGCUUAACUUGGGAAUUGCCAUUGAUACUGAUGGUCUUGAGUACACUUGAGGUGGGCGGAAUGUGUCAUGUAGCGGUGAAAUGCUUAGAUAUGACACAGAACACCGAUUGCGAAGGCAGCUCACUAAAUUGUACUGACGCUGAGGCACGAAAGCGUGGGGAUCAAACAGGAUUAGAUACCCUUGUAGUC
RNAcentral lists this ribosomal RNA (432 nucleotides) under uncultured bacterium. Its description in RNAcentral is "partial 16S ribosomal RNA". It matches the Rfam family "Bacterial small subunit ribosomal RNA", at positions 338 to 795 of the family's 1533-position model. The record is from RNAcentral.